GCAACCUUCCUGGCCAUCAAAGACGGCAUAUAUAAAGAGUGCAAUCGAAGCGUCGUUCAUCAGUUCGAGCUACCGAAGCAAGAAUAACACUCUCAAACAUGUUCCGUUGCGUCCUCAUCCUGGCCCUUGCCACCUGUGCCUUCGCCGGCUACCUCGGCUACGGCGGCUACUCCGUGGCUGCUCCACUAAGCUCGUCUUACUCCACCGUUCACCACGCUCCAGUUGUCUCUACCCUCGGCUACGGCCAUGGUCUUGGCUACGGCCAUGGUCUUGGCUACGGCUACGGUCUCGGCUAUGGCCACAGCCUUGGCUACGGAUACGGACUCUUUGGCCAUGGUCUUGGCUACGGUUAUGGACUUGGCCGUCUUGGCUACGCUGGCUUCUACAAGAAGUAAUCUGAACACCUGACAAUUUCGGACGAUGGCCUUCCGGGACUGCACUCACCACCAACAGGAGUACAUAGAAGAAAUUUGAAAAUAACGCAAUAAACC
This is a long non-coding RNA of Ixodes scapularis (black-legged tick), 491 nucleotides long. RefSeq lists it as uncharacterized. The record is from RefSeq and is a predicted model, not a curated record. NCBI's taxonomy places the organism in Eukaryota, Metazoa, Arthropoda, Arachnida, Ixodida, Ixodidae. The transcript has 3 exons.